AAUCAACGCUGGCGGCGUGCCUAACACAUGCAAGUCGAACGAGAAAGGGGACUUCGGUCCCUGAGUACAGUGGCGCACGGGUGAGUAACACGUGACUUAUCUACCCUCGAGUGGGGAAUAACUUCGGGAAACCGAGGCUAAUACCGCAUAAUACCCACGGGUACAAAGGAGCAAUUCGCUUGAGGAGGAGGUCGCGGCCGAUUAGUUAGUUGGCGGGGUAAUGGCCCCCACCAAGACGGUGAUCGGUAUCCGGCCUGAGGAGGGCGCACGGACACACUGGAACUGAAACACGGUCCAGACUCCGUACGGGGAGGCAGCAGGUGGGGUAAUUUUGCGCAAUGGGGGAAACCCUGACGCAGCAACGCCGCGUGGAGGAUGAAGUCUCUUGGGACGUAAACUCCUUUCGAUCGGGACGAUUAUGACGGUACCGGAAGAAGAAGCCCCGGCUAACUUCGUG
Molecule: ribosomal RNA, 457 nt
Filed under: uncultured bacterium
Lineage: Bacteria
Description: bacterial SSU rRNA
Rfam family: Bacterial small subunit ribosomal RNA
Source: RNAcentral